Non-coding RNA from Podarcis lilfordi (Lilford's wall lizard), 69 nucleotides. The record is from the annotation of a GenBank genome assembly. Lineage: Eukaryota; Metazoa; Chordata; Lepidosauria; Squamata; Lacertidae.
GAAACUGUCAGUCGGUAGAGCAUGAGACUCUUAAUCUCGGGGUUGUGGGUUCAAGCCUCAUGUUAGGCA